GGAGGCUGGGAGGAGACGGGACCAGGUCUUGCAGGGCUUGCACAAAAGUUUGGCUUUUACAAUGAGUAGCAUCAGUAGCCCAUUUUCUCAUCUCUUAGGGACCUUUUUCCCCAGCGGCAGGCUGCGUUACAAGUAUUUCCUGUCUGAGCUGGCACAUCUGCCCAUUGAGCCGACCCCCGGUCUGCAGAGGGAGCGCUCUUCCCUGGCAGCUGUAGAGGCUUGCUCUUGGCUCUACUGAAUCCUGACGGGGCGAGUGACAGGGACAAACAGCGUUUGGAUGUGACAGGUAAGUUCCUGCAGCCAACCUGUGCCUUCACCUCGUCGGGGAAGCCAGAGAGGCCUGCACGUGGCUGCUGCCCCCGAGGGGCAGGGCCCCGCCCCUUGGUGCCAGGCUCGCCUCCCCAUGAAGCCACCACCUGUAUUCCUGCCCGUUUGCACCUCGGAGAACAGCUUGCUUGCUGUUCCAACAAAGAGUCGCGUGGAGCCGCAUGAGCUGUCGGAGGGUCACAUGUCUUCCGGGCCGGCCCGUCCACUGUGCGGUGUGGUGGUUCGCAACACCGCUUCAGAAGGGCAGCCGCCCUCAGCAGGACAUGGAGAAUAUCGCGUGGAAUUAAAAUAAGACUCUACCUCCUUUGCACCCCAAAUUCCUUUGCACCCAAAUUCCACGACUUGGGUUUUUGAUACUGACCUGCCUGAGGCUGGCUGUCCCCAGCGGGUGCAUUUCUUUAAGUCAAACCGACACGUGUGCCCACGUGAGUUAUGGGCAAAGCUCCUGCAAAUGGCCUUCACUAAUGUGCUGUCUUUGUUCCAAAUUCCUUCAGCCCUUUGAAGGUUAACGAGGGAGAUAAAAAGAAGAUAUUAAGUCAAAAUGAAAUAAAGUGUGCACUUCCUCUGGU
Long non-coding RNA from Myotis brandtii (Brandt's bat), 896 nucleotides. RefSeq lists it as uncharacterized. The record is from RefSeq and is a predicted model, not a curated record. The transcript is spliced from 2 exons. NCBI's taxonomy places the organism in Eukaryota, Metazoa, Chordata, Mammalia, Chiroptera, Vespertilionidae.